RNAcentral lists this long non-coding RNA (215 nucleotides) under Lathyrus oleraceus (garden pea). RNAcentral describes it as "Pisum sativum (pea) long non-coding RNA (PSAT_LNC038927)". Lineage: Eukaryota; Viridiplantae; Streptophyta; Magnoliopsida; Fabales; Fabaceae. The record is from RNAcentral.
AAGGUUUGAGGUGCAGAUUCUGACUCAGGUUGAGGUUCAGAUUCUGCUUCUGGUUGAGGUUCAGAUGUUUGGGGUGAAGCAUAAAGAGGGUUUAAAUCUAAAGGUUCAGAUUCUGGUUCUGGUUCAGCGGAGAUGUUUGGUGGGUUGAUAUCAGAAGUGGGAUGGUCAGAGGGUUGGUUUUCAGAAGGUAUGGUGGUUGUUUGUUGUGGUGGAGG